AUUGAACGCUGGCGGCAUGCCUUACACAUGCAAGUCGAACGGCAGCGGGGGAGAAGCUCGCUUUUCCUGCCGGCGAGUGGCGAACGGGUGAGUAAUACAUCGGAACGUGCCCUGUAGUGGGGGAUAACUAGUCGAAAGAUUAGCUAAUACCGCAUACGAACUGAGGGUGAAAGUGGGGGACCGCAAGGCCUCAUGCUAUAGGAGCGGCCGAUGUCUGAUUAGCUAGUUGGUGGGGUAAAGGCCUACCAAGGCGACGAUCAGUAGCUGGUCUGAGAGGACGAUCAGCCACACUGGGACUGAGACACGGCCCAGACUCCUACGGGAGGCAGCAGUGGGGAAUUUUGGACAAUGGGCGAAAGCCUGAUCCAGCAAUGCCGCGUGUGUGAAGAAGGCUUUCGGGUUGUAAAGCACUUUUGUCCGGAAAGAAAUGGCUCUGGUUAAUACCUGGGGUCGAUGACGGUACCGGAAGAAUAAGGACCGGCUAACUACGUGCCAGCCGCCGCGGUAA
RNAcentral lists this ribosomal RNA (508 nucleotides) under uncultured bacterium. Its description in RNAcentral is "partial 16S ribosomal RNA". It matches the Rfam family "Bacterial small subunit ribosomal RNA", at positions 30 to 523 of the family's 1533-position model. The record is from RNAcentral.